AAUGAUGAAAAUAUGACACAAAGGUUUGCAUACUACAUACCGGUAAAGCAAACAUUAAGUAGCUUACUGCAGUCAGAAUUCUGGAAGAAUUCAAUGUCACAAACGCCUUGUGAAACAGAAUCAGAUGUUUUCAGUGACAUAAAUGAUGGCAAAAGCUUAAAGUCCAACCAGUUUUUCACUGAAAACCCAGAAUGCUUGAAACUAAUUCUUUACCAGGAUGCUUUUGAAAUUGUCAAUCCCCUUGGCUCUGCUAAAAAAAGCACAAAGUUUUAGCAGUUUAUCUAUCUGUGGCUAAUUUACCUGCUUAUCUGCGAUCCAAUACUGAUCACAUGUCCCUUGUCUUACUGUGUGUAGAGAAUGACUUAAAACAGUUUGGAUAUGCUAAAGUUUUCUCUGAGUUACUACAGGAUUUAAAAGAUUUGGAAGAAAACGGAAGAACUGUAGAUGGUAAAACGAUCAAAGGAGGUUUGUUUUGUAUUGCCGGUGACAAUUUGGGUUCGCACAGCAUAGGGGGGUUUACAGAAAAUUUCAGUCGUUCUCAGUACUUUUGCAGGUACUGCGAAAUAACCAGAAAUGAGUUUCAAAAUGAUGACCCCAAUGUUUGUGGUCCACAGCGUACCCCUGACACUUACGAUUCUGCUGUUUGUGAUCUACAAACUGAAGACAUUCAGGACUAUAAAGGCAUAAAGAAAUGACUGACUCAGAAAAGACAUUUCUACACACCACCAUCACUGACAUCUUGCCUGACCUUCCAGAGGUGACAAAACAUAUUUUAGAAGAGACCUAGCAGUCUCUUGGUGUGGAGACAAGGGAUGACUUUAGGUUUAUUGAAGAAGCUGAUUUGCUGUCAGCAUUGAGGCCAGUUCAAGCCCGCAAAGUCCUUGCUGCUUUGAAACUGAGGUGUCUGACUCCUGAAAGCAGCAGCUCAUCUGGUGAUGCCUUGCCAGGGCCUUCAACAAGUUUUUGUUCAUUUUCACCCCAAAGUUCACAAUCAACCUCUCCCAUCAGCUCCCAAAACCCUAAUAUAGACUGGAUGGACACCUUUCUGAUUCCAUGGGAUAAGUUACCAGAGGAACUGAUACAAAUAUUUGAAAGAGGAAACCGACCAAGUCCACGUAUGAGAAGAGAGAUGGUCCGGAUUGUGGUUCGGGAGAUGAUACAAAAAAAUCGUUGCCCAAGUACGAAGCUUUCUAAUGAAGUUGCCAAGAAGAUGGUAGCAAAAUAUCCUAAAUCUCUGCAAGACGUAAU
Non-coding RNA from Paramisgurnus dabryanus, 1248 nucleotides. The record is from RefSeq and is a predicted model, not a curated record. Lineage: Eukaryota; Metazoa; Chordata; Actinopteri; Cypriniformes; Cobitidae.